GAUGAACGCUGGCGGCGUGCCUAACACAUGCAAGUCGAGCGAUUUCCUUCGGGAAAGAGCGGCGGACGGGUGAGUAACGCGUGGGUAACCUGCCCUGUACACACGGAUAACAUACCGAAAGGUAUGCUAAUACGGGAUAACAUACUUUUAUCGCAUGGUAGAAGUAUCAAAGCUCCGGCAGUACAGGAUGGACCCGCGUCUGAUUAGCUAGUUGGUAAGGUAACGGCUUACCAAGGCAACGAUCAGUAGCCGACCUGAGAGGGUGAUCGGCCACAUUGGAACUGAGACACGGUCCAAACUCCUACGGGAGGCAGCAGUGGGGAAUAUUGCACAAUGGGCGAAAGCCUGAUGCAGCAACGCCGCGUGAGCGAUGAAGGCCUUCGGGUCGUAAAGCUCUGUCCUCAAGGAAGAUAAUGACGGUACUUGAGGAGGAAGCCCCGGCUAACUACGUGCCAGCCGCCGCAGUAA
This 468-nucleotide ribosomal RNA is filed under the name uncultured bacterium. Its description in RNAcentral is "partial 16S ribosomal RNA". It matches the Rfam family "Bacterial small subunit ribosomal RNA", at positions 28 to 523 of the family's 1533-position model. The record is from RNAcentral.